AUGUUCUCCUGCAACACCAGCACUUCUGGUCAGUCUACCUUCCUCCUCACUGGUUUUCCAGGCCUGGAAGCCUCUCAUCAUUGGGUUUCCAUCCCCAUCAACCUCUUCUGUGUGGUUUCCAUCCUGGGUAAUAAUAUCAUCCUCUUCCUGAUCCACACAGAUCCAGCCUUACGUGAACCAAUGUAUAUCUUCCUGUCCAUGUUGGCAGCCUCUGAUCUGGGCCUCUGUGCCUCCACCUUCCCCACCAUGGUGCGUCUCUACUGGCUGGGAGCUCGUGAGCUGCCCUUUGAUCUCUGUGCAGCACAGAUGUUCUUCAUCCAUACCUUCACCUAUGUGGAGUCUGGUAUACUGCUGGCCAUGGCCUUCGAUAGCUUUAUUGCCAUCUGGGACCCUCUGCAUUAGGCCAUAAUCCUUACCUGCUUAGCCACAGCCAAGGUGGGAACUGCCAUUCUGGUGAGGGCUGUUCUGCUCAACCUCCCAGGACCUAUCCUCCUGCAGCAGCUGCUCUUUCCCAAGAUCAGCGCUCUCUCUCACUGCUACUGCCUGCACUGUGACCUCGUGGGGUUGGCUUGCUCAGACACCCAGAUCAAUAGCCUGGUUGGCCUGGUUUCCAUCCUCUUCUCACUGUGCCUUGACUCCUUCCUCAUCAUGCUUUCAUAUGCCCUGAUCCUACGAACCAUGCUGGGCAUUGCAUCCCCUGGGGAAUGGCUCAAGGCACUCAACACGUGUGUCUCACACCUCUGCAUUGUUCUUAUCUUUUAUUUGCCCAAACUGGGGCUGUCUGUGUUUCACUGAGUAAAGAAGCAUGACUACCCUGCUCUGGUAGUGCUUAUGGCCAACCUACACUUCUUGGUCCCACCCUUCAUGAACCCCAUUGUGUAUUGUGUCAAGUCUAGGCAGAUCCUUCAGAGCCUCCUAAAGCGCUUCCAGCAGAAGAGGAUUGAUGCUUUCUAA
RNAcentral lists this small RNA (954 nucleotides) under Pongo abelii (Sumatran orangutan). Its description in RNAcentral is "unitary pseudogene". The record is from RNAcentral. Lineage: Eukaryota; Metazoa; Chordata; Mammalia; Primates; Hominidae.